RNAcentral lists this ribosomal RNA (458 nucleotides) under uncultured bacterium. RNAcentral's name for it is "bacterial SSU rRNA". It matches the Rfam family "Bacterial small subunit ribosomal RNA", at positions 28 to 507 of the family's 1533-position model. The record is from RNAcentral.
GAUGAACGCUGGCGGUAUGCUUUACACAUGCAAGUCGUACGAAAAGUAUUUGAAUUUAUUCGUUUACUUUUAGUGGCGGACGGGUGAGUAACACGUGAGAAUCUGCCUUUAGGAGGGGGACAACAAAUCGAAAGGUCUGCUAAAACCCCAUAUGUCGUUAGAUGAAAUAGAUUUAUCUGCCUAAAGAGGAGCUCCGGGCUGAUUUAGCUAGUGUGGUGGGGUAAAGGCCUACCAAGGGGACGAUCAGUAAGCUGGUCUGAGAAGGAGAUCAGCCCCACUGGGACUGAGACACGGCCCAGACUCCUACGGGAGGCAGCAGUGGGGAAUUUUCCGCAAUGGGCGAGGAAAGCCUGCGGAGCAACGCCGCGUGAGGGAUGAAGGCCUCUGGGCUGUAAACCUCUUUUAUCAAGGAAGAAGAUCUGACGGUACUUGAUGAAUAAGCCACGGCUAAUUCCGUG